ACGGAAGGCAGCAGUGGGGGAUAUUGCACAAUGGGGGAAACCCUGAUGCAGCGACGCCGCGUGAGCGAAGAAGUAUUUCGGUAUGUAAAGCUCUAUCAGCAGGGAAGAAAAUGACGGUACCUGACUAAGAAGCUCCGGCUAAAUACGUGCCAGCAGCCGCGGUAAUACGUAUGGAGCAAGCGUUAUCCGGAUUUACUGGGUGUAAAGGGAGCGCAGACGGUUUGCCAAGUCAGAUGUGAAAUCCCGGGGCUCAACCCCGGAACUGCAUUUGAAACUGUAGCCCUUGAGUAUCGGAGAGGCAAGCGGAAUUCCUAGUGUAGCGGUGAAAUGCGUAGAUAUUAGGAGGAACACCAGUGGCGAAGGCGGCUUGCUGGACGACAACUGACGCUGAGGCGCGAAAGCGUGGGGAGCAAACAGGAUUAGAUACCCUGGUA
This 434-nucleotide ribosomal RNA is filed under the name uncultured Lachnospiraceae bacterium. RNAcentral's name for it is "partial 16S ribosomal RNA". It matches the Rfam family "Bacterial small subunit ribosomal RNA", at positions 341 to 792 of the family's 1533-position model. The record is from RNAcentral. Lineage: Bacteria; Bacillati; Bacillota; Clostridia; Lachnospirales; Lachnospiraceae.